UACGAAGGGGGCUAGCGUUGCUCGGAAUUACUGGGCGUAAAGCGCACGUAGGCGGCUUCUAAGUCGGGGGUGAAAUCCUGGAGCUCAACUCCAGAACUGCCUUCGAUACUGGAGAGCUCGAGUCCGGGAGAGGUGAGUGGAACUGCGAGUGUAGAGGUGAAAUUCGUAGAUAUUCGCAAGAACACCAGUGGCGAAGGCGGCUCACUGGCCCGGUACUGACGCUGAGGUGCGAAAGCGUGGGGAGCAAACAGG
RNAcentral lists this ribosomal RNA (252 nucleotides) under uncultured bacterium. RNAcentral describes it as "partial 16S ribosomal RNA". It matches the Rfam family "Bacterial small subunit ribosomal RNA", at positions 524 to 776 of the family's 1533-position model. The record is from RNAcentral.